GAGGUUAUAGCUCAGUGGUAGAGCGCAUGCUUAGCGUGUAUGAAGUCCUAGGUUCAAUCUCCAGUACCUCCG
Molecule: transfer RNA, 72 nt
Filed under: Camelus dromedarius (Arabian camel)
Lineage: Eukaryota; Metazoa; Chordata; Mammalia; Artiodactyla; Camelidae
Also listed under: 1 other name
Rfam family: tRNA
About the family: Transfer RNA (tRNA) molecules are approximately 80 nucleotides in length. Their secondary structure includes four short double-helical elements and three loops (D, anti-codon, and T loops). Further hydrogen bonds mediate the characteristic L-shaped molecular structure. tRNAs have two regions of fundamental functional importance: the anti-codon, which is responsible for specific mRNA codon recognition, and the 3' end, to which the tRNAs corresponding amino acid is attached (by aminoacyl-tRNA synthetases). tRNAs cope with the degeneracy of the genetic code in two manners: having more than one tRNA (with a specific anti-codon) for a particular amino acid; and 'wobble' base-pairing, i.e. permitting non-standard base-pairing at the 3rd anti-codon position.
Source: Rfam by way of RNAcentral